GACGAACGCUGGCGGCGUGCUUAACACAUGCAAGUCGAACGGAAAGGCCUGCUUUCCCCUGUGGAUUGCGGGUACUCGAGUGGCGAACGGGUGGGUAACACGUGAGUGAUCUGCCCCCAACUUGGGUAUAAGCCUGGGAAACUGGGUCUAAUUUCCGAUAGGACUGCAGGGUGGUGCCUGUGGUGGAAAACGAUUUUCUAGUGGUUGGGGAUGAGCUCGCGGCCUAUCAGCUUGUUGGUGGGGUAAUGGCCUACCAAGGCGGCGACGGGUAGCCGGCCUGAGAGGGUGGACGGCCACAUUGGGACUGAGAUACGGCCCAGACUCCUACGGGAGGCAGCAGUGGGGAAUAUUGCACAAUGGGCGGAAGCCUGAUGCAGCGACGCCGCGUGGGGGAUGACGGCCUUCGGGUUGUAAACUCCUUUCGACCGCGAGGAAGCCACCUGGUUGGAAGGGUGGUGACGGUAGUGGUAGAAGAAGCACCGGCUAACUACGUG
This 494-nucleotide ribosomal RNA is filed under the name uncultured bacterium. RNAcentral's name for it is "partial 16S ribosomal RNA". It matches the Rfam family "Bacterial small subunit ribosomal RNA", at positions 28 to 507 of the family's 1533-position model. The record is from RNAcentral.